GAUUAAUGUUGAAAUUGUCUAUUUGUAUUUGAACUUAGCUUAGUGAAUUUUACAAGUUAAUAAUAAUAACACCAACAAAAAACUAUUCCUAUUAUACAAAAUAGGGCUUGCCGUUUUCGUUAAAGCUAUUGAGGUCUUCCUUUCAAACAUAAUAUUAUAGUCUUCCAUGCUUCUCGAUCGUCUGCUACCUCCCACCAGCCUAAAUUCCUAUAUUCGAGUUCUAAGACCACUGCCAAAUCCUUCUUAACGCAAUCUCUCCAACGAAUUCACCGUCUUCCAAGUGUUCUUUUGAUCCUUGGGUUUUCAAGUUUCACUUUUUUUUUACCAUUGAUUCUUGAUUCCUCCACACAAUCCUAAUUUCUUUGUUUUUAUCUCGUUCACGAUU
This is a non-coding RNA of Cinara cedri, 385 nucleotides long. Lineage: Eukaryota; Metazoa; Arthropoda; Insecta; Hemiptera; Aphididae. The record is from the annotation of a GenBank genome assembly.